This 68-nucleotide transfer RNA is filed under the name Rattus norvegicus (Norway rat). It matches the Rfam family "tRNA". From Rfam's summary of the family: Transfer RNA (tRNA) molecules are approximately 80 nucleotides in length. Their secondary structure includes four short double-helical elements and three loops (D, anti-codon, and T loops). Further hydrogen bonds mediate the characteristic L-shaped molecular structure. tRNAs have two regions of fundamental functional importance: the anti-codon, which is responsible for specific mRNA codon recognition, and the 3' end, to which the tRNAs corresponding amino acid is attached (by aminoacyl-tRNA synthetases). tRNAs cope with the degeneracy of the genetic code in two manners: having more than one tRNA (with a specific anti-codon) for a particular amino acid; and 'wobble' base-pairing, i.e. permitting non-standard base-pairing at the 3rd anti-codon position. Lineage: Eukaryota; Metazoa; Chordata; Mammalia; Rodentia; Muridae. The record is from Rfam by way of RNAcentral.
GGGGAUUUAGCUCAGUGGUAGAGCACUUGCCUAGCAAGCACAAGGCCCUGGGUUCGAUCCCCAGCUCA